AGAGUUGAUCCUGGCUUAGGAUGAACGCUAGCGGCAGGCUUAACACAUGCAAGUCGAGGGGCAACGCGAGUAGCAAUACUGGCGGCGACCGGCGCAAGGGUGCGUAACGCGUGAGCAACAUGCCCGUAUCAGGGGGAUAAUCCAGGGAAACUUGGUCUAAUACCCCAUAGUAAUUUUUGUAAGGCAUCUUAGUAAGAGUUUAAAGCUUUAGGUGGAUACGGAUUGGCUCGCGUGACAUUAGCUGGAUGGUAAGGUAACGGCUUACCAUGGCUAUGAUGUCUAGGGGUUCUGAGAGGAAGGUCCCCCACACUGGAACUGAGACACGGUCCAGACUCCUACGGGAGGCAGCAGUGAGGAAUAUUGGACAAUGGAUGGAAAUCUGAUCCAGCCAUGCCGCGUGAAAAGGAAGAAGGUCCUAUGGAUUGUAAACUUCUUUUGUAUGGGAGCAAUAAGGCCUACGAGUAGGCUGAUGAGAGUACCAUACGAAUAAGCACCGGCUAACUCCGUGCCAGCAGCGGC
This 519-nucleotide ribosomal RNA is filed under the name uncultured bacterium. RNAcentral's name for it is "bacterial SSU rRNA". It matches the Rfam family "Bacterial small subunit ribosomal RNA", at positions 8 to 518 of the family's 1533-position model. The record is from RNAcentral.